CAUGGUGAUGGUGCAAGCCGGCCGGCGGGAGGGAGGGAGCGGACAUGGCGGCGAGCGAGCCGGCCUUCCUGGAGAAAGUGGGUGAACUGCAGCGGCAACUGCACUGCAGUGAGCAAAAAAGACUGGAGCUGGAAAAGAACCUUUUGACUUGUAGCAAGUCAAAUCAGUUAAUGGUAAGAGGUGCAAGAUUGAAAAGUUACUUGAAGGAAUUAUGUGAACGGGAGAAAAUAGCCCAACUUCGCAACCAUCAGUUGCUGAAGGAUUUUGAGAGUAUUGAAGCCCAGGUCACAGCAUUAACAUCAGGUUCAGACACACUGAAGCAAAUUAAGAUGGCAUAUGAAAAACAGAUCGAAAGAUUACUUCCAGUUUGGAGUAAGAACCUGAAGUCACAAGGGAAAGAGAAGGAAGCAAGUCUGGAACGAGCAAGUAAUUCAUCAAGACAAAGGGUUACAGAUGUCAGAGAAGAUCUGUCAAAGGCAUUAGAUACUACUGCCACUUGCAUCCUGGACCAACAAGAAUCACGGACCUCAAAUAGAACAUGUACAAGUCCACAACAAAAACAUCAACAGCACAUGGAGAGCUUUACAUCUUCUCAGCCAUACAGGCAGACAGCAUCAGUGACAGCAAUGCACAGUAAUUCUGUGAUGGACAACUUGAAGUUGCCCAUGUCAAGCAAGGGAAGGCAAGACUUCCACACUGUUUCUGACACAAUAGAAAGGAAGACAGGACUCCAAACCAGUGAAGUAAUGCCAUUCACUCCCAUAAUCUCUUCAAGAAGUGAAAGACAUCACUAUGAAGGGAUAGAAAGUAAUAGGCGCAUUAGAGCAAAUAGUUCAGCUGGCAGUCAGGAAUUACCUGUACCUGUGACUCAGUUAGAGCCCAUUAAGGAAGAGCUGACACAAGACACUAUGCUGAAUGAUUUUAAAAGUCGCCUGACAGAUGAAGUGAAUAGUCACAAAAACGUUAUUGUAAGUGAACAUGCACCUGAGUGGUUUCAGAGGCUGCCCAUGGAUUCAUUCCACGACAGCGUGUGUUCAGGAGGCUUCAGCAUGAACAUAAAGGAAAACAACCUUUGUCAAUUCGUGAGCUCCCAGAAUCAGAGAAAGGAUGUGGAGGAGGCUCUGAUGCAAAGUCAGGACGUGCAGAGGCUGGCAGAUGAACUAUGUGAUUCAGAAAGUGACCUUAGUAUUUCUGGUAAUGCUGAAGAAUUGCAGUUGAAGAAAUCUUUUGAAGAACCAUGUAAUCAUAAAACAGCUAUAAAUGAUGACCCGGCAAGGACCAGUGAGUCAGCCUUUACCAAAGAUAAAAGCUCUGCUGUUUCUAAAGAAGAACACAUUGUGCCUUUCUUAAAUCAACCAGAUCAAAAAGACCAUGGUGGUUCUGUGGAAGGUGACCUUCAUGAAGAACUAUGUGAGAUCAUAACACAAUCUCAGCAGAAUGAGGGGUACCUUUCACUUGAAGGAUUUUUUCACUUACUUCAAACAAUAGAAGAUGCUGUUGAAGAAACAAUGGCUACUUAUUCGGAACUGUAUCAGCAUGCUACAAUGAGUAAUGAAAAACUGCAGGAAAUCUCGAGUACUUGUAAUUUGAAAGGCCCUGUGAGCAGAGAAAACCUUCAGGCCUGUGGAGCAAUUGUUCUUCACCAGCUCAAGAGAUUGUCACAGAGUACUUCAAAUGGUUGCCUGUUGUCCGAAGAAAUUUUGAACAAAGAUUGGGAAGCAGUUGACGGAGGCAGUCAUAGAUUGUCAGAUUUGCCUGCUGAUUCUGCUACGUUGUGGGACCGCUGGUACUUGCAUGUUCUUUCUAUGCUGGAGCAUCAGGUGCUGACCACAGAUGAGGCUGCAGAAAUAUUUGGACCCUUAUUGGUUGCAGAAAGCAGUAAUAACUCCAAAAAGGCAACAGCAUUAUUGAAGAAAAUCCUUCCAAAAGCAGUUGAAAAUCAGUCUCUACCAAGUGAUGACUCGUCUUACAGCUUACCGUCCAUUUUCAAUGAUGAUAUAGAAAUUAAAUCAGAAAUUCCUGUGCCGUGGUUUGACCUGAAUAAUACCAAGCAGCAAGAAACAAGAGCAUAUCAACUAUUAAAACAAUUGGCAAUGCAGCAGAAUGAGAAGGAUGUCUCAGAUUUACAUUCAUCAGGUAAAAGCAAGCAGAAGUACACCAAUAAACUGAAAAAUGAGGUUAAAGAUGAGGAUAAUUUUGAAACUGGCUCCAGUGAAGGAAGUCCACAGUUAAGUGAACCAGAUUCUAAACAGGCUCUGUACCAAUUAUCGUCAGAGUUGACUACUUCAAAAGGGCCUGGCAGUAGACAUGAAGGCAAAUUAAGUACUCCCAGCAGGGAACUGCGUUCAAAGGAUGUAUGAGUUGGAAAACUGAGGCUACAACGUUGUAGCUGUGUUAGGACAUGUCUGACAACCACCCACGCUGCCUUUGAGCAUGGCUUCCUUGUGGGAAGAUGGCGCUGAAAAGAGUCUGAUAAAUCAAAAUUUCAGUCUCCUUAUCAUAAUCUAAAUUGAUCCUGUUCAUCUUAACAAGAUCUUGCAUCCAAUGAGGGCCAGAAACAAGAGAGAGAGGAUUAAUCCUGCAAAAUCAAAAGCAUUUUGGGGUGAAUCUGAUGACAGUGCAUCUGAUAUUGAAGCAAUUCUUCAUCCUAACAUUUCAGAAGUA
Molecule: RNA transcript, 2664 nt
Organism: Carcharodon carcharias (great white shark)
Lineage: Eukaryota; Metazoa; Chordata; Chondrichthyes; Lamniformes; Lamnidae
Gene: kiz
Gene name: kizuna centrosomal protein
Exons: 16
Source: RefSeq, a predicted model, not a curated record